Molecule: non-coding RNA, 29 nt
Filed under: Mus musculus (house mouse)
Lineage: Eukaryota; Metazoa; Chordata; Mammalia; Rodentia; Muridae
Source: RNAcentral
UNUGAAGUAGCUUAGUCAACUAAAGGCCA